GGGAUGAAUUGGAACGCAGACUGCGAGCCAGCCUAAUCGCCCAACAUCCAUUGCCCAACCUCACUAAUGCUCUUGUGGAAAGCCUUCCCAGAAGAGUGGAGGCUGUUAUAGCAGCAAAUGGGGGGGACCAACUUAGAUGUUCCAUGAGUAGGUGUCCACUUACUUUUGGUCAUGUAGUGUAUGUUCUAUAGAAUUUGACGCACCUACGUGCAAACACACACACACAGUUGAAAUAAGCAACAAGACCAUGUCAGGUUUUCUUAAUAAAAAUAAUUCAUUUCAGGACAUAUAAAUAAGUAUUGAAACGCACAGUACAGAUAUUAUUUGAUAUUAAUAAAUACUUAACAAAACAAAGCUUUUCAUACAAUACCCUAUUAUUGACAGGUUACACAAAAAUGUCUCACAACUUUUGCAUGUUUUGUUACAACUUUGCAUGUUUAUGUGUAACAUUGGAAUGUCGUCCCUAUGUAUGUCAAGGAAAGUACCAGAGCAGCUUAUUAAGUAUUGUGUAGUAUGUAGUGGUCUGAACGGGGUUCAGACCCAUAACCAAAGAGCAUGUACUGACAACUAAUUACCCUUGUAAUAUAUUAUAUUAUGUGUAUCAUCUGCUUAAAGCGCAGAUCUAUAUCUAGGCUGCCAUAAGUCUAAUCAACAAAAUACAUUUUUUGCAGGCGUCAGAUAUGCAUAUUGAACAGAUGUCGGAUAUGCAUAUUGAACAGACUUCAACGAUGCCUUAGUUAAGAGGUCGAAUCAAUGCUUUGAAGACGAUGGCAUGUUUUUGAGCAGGAAGGAAAUGUCAGUUCAAAUAUAUAGGUUUAAAAGAAGAAAACACAGGCAUGUCAGUUUUAUAUCAAACAGAGUAGUAGAGUGAGGCAUCGUGUGAGCAGAGCAGAUUUACGCAGAGCCCCUGCGAUAAAGAGGGACUAUACUGCAGGCCAAGUUCUAUGGGUGGUGAGGUAUUUUACUGCAGGCUUGUAUUUGUAUUUAUUAUGGAUCCCCAUCAGCUGCAGCCAAAGCAGCAGCUACUAUUCCUGGGGUCCAGCCAUGCCACAGCUACAAGGUAUGAACCAAGCUAAGGGCUGUGUUGCUGUUUUUCCCCACAGGUGUUUGUUAAUGUUCUCCCUCCCUCCAUCUUCUGAAUGAGGUGUCGAGCUCUACGGGGAUUUCUCCUGGAUUCAUGUUCUCCCUCCUCUGAAUGGGGUGUUGAGCUGUACGGGGAUUUCUCCUGCCUUUAUGUUCUCCUUCCUUACCUCCAAACACACACUCCUUUCCUCACUGGCAAUCCCCUUGGACGAGAUCAACUGAACUCUGCUCUCAUCUAUAAGUAACUCAUUAACUAGGAGUCUGUGUGAAGGUAAUUGCCCAGCAUUACCACAUAUAGAACACACUGUAACAUGGUACAACUCUCAGGGCAAGCGCUAACUUGGACUUCUACAGUAGAGAUACAAAAAGUGGUCGACAGCAAACAACGUCAAAACGACAUAUGUACUGCCAGCAGACAUCUAUGUGGUGGUGGGAGAGGUUGAAAACAAGAACACAACAGCAUAUGUACUGCCAGCAGACAUCUAUGUGGUGGUGGGAGAGGUUGAAAACAAGAACACAACAGCAUAUGUACUGCCAGCAGACAUCUAUGUGGUGUUGGGAGAGUUUGAAAACAAGAACACAACAGCAUAUGUACUGCCAGCAGACAUCUAUGUGGUGUUGGGAGAGGUUGAAA
Molecule: long non-coding RNA, 1717 nt
Organism: Oncorhynchus tshawytscha (Chinook salmon)
Lineage: Eukaryota; Metazoa; Chordata; Actinopteri; Salmoniformes; Salmonidae
Source: Ensembl